Molecule: unclassified non-coding RNA, 229 nt
Filed under: plant metagenome
Description: partial contains small subunit ribosomal RNA, internal transcribed spacer 1, and 5.8S ribosomal RNA
Source: RNAcentral
UCUCCGUAGGUGAACCUGCGGAGGGAUCAUUACAGAGUUCAUGCCCUACCGGGUAGAUCUCCCACCCUAUGUUAUUAUUUCUUUGUUGCUUUGGCGGGCCGUUAGGCUCCGGCCCGACUACCGGCCCCGGCUGGUAAGCGCCCGCCAGAGGACCCAAAACCCUGAAUAUUAGUGUCGUCUGAGUACUAUAUAAUAGUCAAAACUUUCAACAACGGAUCUCUUGGUUCUG